UGAAUUCAUAAAGUUCAAGGUUCUUCUCAAGGAGUUAUUGUAAUUUUUUUUAUCCCCUUCUAUGUUUUCUUGGACAAGUUUGAUAAAGUCGUACUUUUUGUUGUGGUGCACCAGUUGUUGGAUGUGAACUUUGUUGAUCAUGAUUGUAGACUAGCUGCUAUUGCUGAACCAGAUACUGUUUUGAUCCUAUUUUCAGUGACAGGGCAACUAUUUAUGGCACAAGAACAAAACGAAUAGUGUGAUAAUGUAGAUGAGAAUCAACAGUACCAUAUCCAUAUUUGUAUUUCAAGUUGUAAGAUAAAAAUGAGUU
Molecule: unclassified non-coding RNA, 310 nt
Filed under: Hevea brasiliensis (rubber tree)
Lineage: Eukaryota; Viridiplantae; Streptophyta; Magnoliopsida; Malpighiales; Euphorbiaceae
Source: RNAcentral